UUUCUCUCGGUGAAAAGCAGGCUGGCCUCACGGCAGAAGCGAAACGGGGAACCUCAUAAACACGCUGAAAGUUGCUCUAAACGCUUGUUUAUUGGGAAAUUAUCGUCUUUGUAGUUACCGCUUAUUUUUACAAGAAAGCUUCACGAAGCAAGAAAAACAAGCCUUGUAUGCAGAGUUUUCUUCAUUGGUUCGCUGGCUGUCUAGCAGCAUACAGACACGUGUUGUGAGGACAGCACACCCUGCUUCACCUGAAGGCAGCUGGGAUAGGCUCCAGCAUGCCCGCAACCUUGAGAUACUUGAACCUCCUCCACCUGGGGCGGGACCUCCAAUCCAGAGGCUGCAAUCCACUCUUUUUCCGAAUUGGAGGUGCUGAGUUUCAUUCCAGAAUCUUCACAACUCAGCUGCAAAACGCUCCAGUAAACACUGAAGGUCACAGCCCAAUGAGGCCAUCAGGAUCACAUCAUCUGGGAAUAACAUACGUGAUCCUAAAGCCCCCCAAACUGGACCCACUUUGACGCCUUUACCGCGCUUAGGAAUUCUUCAAAAAUUAUGAACAGAAUCGGUGACAAAGGGCAGCCUUGACGGAGGCAAACGUUCAUCGGAAACGUGCUUGACUUACUGCUGGCAGUGCGAGUAUCAGGUUUGUCUAUUCUGGGUUGUAGUAGAAUACAUUUACAGCAGUAUUUGGGAAGCUGAGAGUAGUUAUCAUUAUGGACAAGUAUGCCUUAAGGGUUAAUGAAGCCAUAAUCACCGGAGGCAGUGGGUGACUGGAUAAUCCUGAGUAUAAUCCCGAUGUCUAAUCUUCAAUGCCCACCGUUUCUCCAGCAGCUCCUGGAGGAAGUGUGUGUCUACUUGGUACACAAUGGAGAAUAAGAUGGCCCGGAAUAAAAAAUAAGCCCUAGGUGCCAUACGGGCAGUACUUUGCCCGACUCUACUGCAUUGAUGGGUGAUCUCGUAUGGAGACAGCUGUGGGAAUAUAAGAACUAACGUCCGGCUCGAGGGCCAUUUGUGUGUCAUAGCUUGUGUUUUCUUGGCCUGCAUACAACGGUAUGAAGUAUGAUUAGGCCAAGCAAUAAAAAUUAAUUGUAAUUGAAUGAAAAACGGCGUUUGUGAAGUGGUUAGCGCACUGGCCUCACAGCUAGGAGACCAGGGUUCAAUUCCACCCGAGGCCAUCUCUGUGUGGAGUUUUCUCAAGAGUACUCCGGUUUCCUACCACAUUAUUGACAGUUACUAUGGUACCGAUUAUGUCAUUGUAUGGUCAUAUCACCUCGUACGUGACAAAAAUAAAAUAAAAAAAACUAUAUUAGGAAAGCAGGAAGUGAACAAAUGUAACAGUUACUGAUUGUAAAAGUACCAGAUGGAGGGGUAGGAUUUAAUAAGCUUUGCUUCUUCCUACUCCUUUUGGACAUGUGGAACUGUGAACUGAUUAUGGGAUGCAUUCAAUUGUAAUCUGAUGCAUGUUCAAAUGAAAUAAAACCAUUAACAUUAACAUUCCAAAAACAUGCUAGGUUAAUUGGCAACUCCAAAUUGUCCAUAGGUAUGAAUGUGAGUGUGAAUGGUUGUUUGUCUAGAUCUGCCCUGUGAUUGGCUGGCCACAAGUCCAGGGUGUACCCCGCCUCUCGCUUGAAGACAGCUGGGAUAGGCUCCAGCACCUCCGCAUCCCUCAUGAUGAAAAGCGGUAGAAAAUGAAUGAAAAAGUCAUCCUAAUAGCAAUAAGUUUUGCCAUCAUAACAUAUUUCUUUACCUAAAUUGUCUAUCGUUAAAAAAGUGAAGAACAUCAAAGUGGAACCUGCAUCCUUUAAAUGUAUUCUAGACAGGGCUCAGUGGAAAAGUUUGGCCACCCCUGAAGUUGUGAAUAAUAGAAAUGACUGACACCAGCUAUCUUCUCCUCCCAAAGAGAUCAUAAGGACCCCCUUGCUCUGAAUCCAUAUAGUAAGACUUUUCAACAUGUAGGAAGCCUUAAAGCGUCUGGAAUCUUUGAAAGUGUCACGCAUACAGAGAUGAAGUGAAGUUGCGAGGAUGUCUGAGAGAAUAAGAAGUGUAGAGAGCGGCAGAGAACAGGAUUGUACCGACGACAAGUUGCUGUUGAGUUGCUCCUAAUUGGCUCGCUUUCAUUCCGUAGUCUUUGUGACAAGGUGACAGUCAGAUGUGCGAUGAUCUUUUUCUCCUUGAUGAAAAGUGACACCAAAAGCAUGUGGGUGGACGCUGCCUUUGUAGUAUGUGUGCAUGUGCAAGCACUGCCUGACAGGAAACCACCAAUGGGAAUGAAAAGGACGCUGACAAUGAUUAUUUAAAAAAAAUACACGUUUUUGGAGUUAAUAAACAGAAUUAGUGGGUAAAAGAGUAAGAAACCGCAUCUGGCAACAUUAAAUAGUGGAGGAUCUCCAUGAAUUUACCAAAUUUUUUGACGAUCAUGUCACAUAUUUUAUCAUCGUUUUCGUGAAAAUUUAUUUAUAAUUUAAUUUGUGCUUAAGUUUAAGCGGGGUGGUGUUGUAUAGCAACAAUUCAUUGAGCUGAGCUUGUGAAACAAGCACAUAAGUUGAUGUCUGUAAGUCAUGUGCAAUUAUAAUUAGUAUAUGAUACCUGUGUGUAUUGAGAAAUGCCAUAUUUUAGACAGUUUGUUGUAUUAUUAUUUUGUUUUAUUAAUAGGGACAGUAAUUGUAGAGACUAUACUGUGUCAUCCACUG
Doryrhamphus excisus (bluestripe pipefish) is the source of this 2687-nucleotide non-coding RNA. Lineage: Eukaryota; Metazoa; Chordata; Actinopteri; Syngnathiformes; Syngnathidae. The record is from RefSeq and is a predicted model, not a curated record.